Molecule: ribosomal RNA, 452 nt
Filed under: Flavobacterium sp.
Lineage: Bacteria; Pseudomonadati; Bacteroidota; Flavobacteriia; Flavobacteriales; Flavobacteriaceae
Description: bacterial SSU rRNA
Rfam family: Bacterial small subunit ribosomal RNA
Source: RNAcentral
GGAUGAACGCUAGCGGCAGGCUUAACACAUGCAAGUCGAGGGGUAUUAGUUUUCGGACUAAGAGACCGGCGCACGGGUGCGUAACGCGUAUGCAAUCUACCUUUUACAGAGGGAUAGCCCAGAGAAAUUUGGAUUAAUACCUCAUAGUAUAUAGACCUGGCAUCAGGAUUAUAUUAAAGUCACAACGGUAAAAGAUGAGCAUGCGUCCCAUUAGCUAGUUGGUAAGGUAACGGCUUACCAAGGCAACGAUGGGUAGGGGUCCUGAGAGGGAGAUCCCCCACACUGGUACUGAGACACGGACCAGACUCCUACGGGAGGCAGCAGUGAGGAAUAUUGGACAAUGGGCGCAAGCCUGAUCCAGCCAUGCCGCGUGCAGGAUGACGGUCCUAUGGAUUGUAAACUGCUUUUGUACGAGAAGAAACACUCCGACGUGUCGGAGCUUGACGGUAUCG